This 85-nucleotide non-coding RNA is filed under the name uncultured Dysosmobacter sp. RNAcentral's name for it is "yjdF RNA". It matches the Rfam family "azaaromatic riboswitch aptamer (yjdF RNA)", at positions 6 to 91 of the family's 101-position model. The record is from RNAcentral. Lineage: Bacteria; Bacillati; Bacillota; Clostridia; Eubacteriales; Oscillospiraceae.
CGGAGAUAAAAACACAGUCCGGUUGGUAGUCCGGGCGUACCCCGCGGGGUAUCAGUAACCUGCCUCCUUGGUUGUCCGUUCUCCG